AGAGGAGAGAACCAGGACUUUUACUCAAAUAGAAGAAAGCCAAUGCAGUUAAAGAAUUAGUUGGCAGAAAAACUCACGAUUCAGCUCUGAAACACACAGGACUGUCACACAAUAAAAAGAGAAGAUUUGAGACAACUACAAUGGAGACAACUGAAGGCUGAGUCUGGAGCAUUGAGUGGAAAGCAGUCCCUGUUCACUCUUUAAAUCAUUACGGUUUAACCCUUUUAACGGAGACCCUCUUGUCCUGGAGAUCCUGCUGUUCUGACUGCCUGACCUCUGUCAACUUCCAGAUGACCCUACAGGACAAGCACCAGGAGAAACCUGAGCUCCCGAUUGCAAUAAUACAACCCCUUGACGUGGCUCAUGUGCAGUUUACACCUGUCUCCCCCAUCCCCUUUGGGACCUGCUGAGGCAGGGACAUCUCUAUGCCCCUUGUCAGCUUGAAGAAGGUACAGAAGUCUUUUCCCUUUUCCCAAUGAAUUUGGGACCCAGCCUUUUGAGGGGGGAAAUGAUGGAAUCCUAGCCACUGCCCCCAGACUCAACAUUACAACUUUCUCAUAUGCCUCACUGCCCAUGUUCUCAAACACAUCAUCUAUUUAGCCUCAGACAGGACCACAAUAGCCAGCCAAUCAGAAAGCAACACCAACAGGACAUGGACCAGGAUGUUUGACCACUAAAUCAUAGCCUAAGUGGACAUUGCACAGUAAUAGCAAAGAACUGUCUUAAGGUGAACUUAUGAUGUAGAAAAGCUUAUCAUAAUAUCAUUAUCAUACAUAAGUGUGUCCCCCUGCCCUGCAAUGGGUUUUUCUAUGCCUUAUAGGUAACCACAUGUGCUGUUUCACUAAGGUGAGGGCCCCUCCUCAUUUUAGUAAACUCUUCCUCUGUUUUAAUGAUCAUAUAUUCUGCAAUGCAUAUUCAUAUAUUCUGUUAUAUAAUCAGCUUCAUUCAUUCUAUAAAAUUCCCUAUCCUGUUCUGCCAAGGGGCCAGUCCUUCUUGGAGCCUAGCCCUCUUUCUGAGAGGCAUAAUUCUCAAUAAAUGCCAUUUCUUGGUUUGGAGAUGGUCUGAAUCUGUGAAUUCUUUUGAGAAGACCUUAAAGCCUGCCUUGAACCUCAACACUAUCAGUUCAUAUUUCCAGGAACACUGACUAUAUUAGUAUGCCAUCUUCCC
Phascolarctos cinereus (koala) is the source of this 1167-nucleotide long non-coding RNA. RefSeq lists it as uncharacterized. The record is from RefSeq and is a predicted model, not a curated record. Lineage: Eukaryota; Metazoa; Chordata; Mammalia; Diprotodontia; Phascolarctidae.